This 422-nucleotide ribosomal RNA is filed under the name uncultured bacterium. RNAcentral's name for it is "bacterial SSU rRNA". It matches the Rfam family "Bacterial small subunit ribosomal RNA", at positions 355 to 774 of the family's 1533-position model. The record is from RNAcentral.
UAAGGAAUAUUGGUCAAUGGGGGCAACUCUGAACCAGCCAUGCCGCGUGAAGGAUUAAGGCCCUCUGGGUUGUAAACUUCUUUUAUAUGGGAAGAGAUGUUCUGAUUCUUCAGAGCUUGACGGUACCAUAGGAAUAAGCACCGGCUAACUCCGUGCCAGCAGCCGCGGUAAUACGGAGGGUGCAAGCGUUAUCCGGAUUCACUGGGUUUAAAGGGUGCGUAGGUGGGCAGAUAAGUCAGUGGUGAAAUCUUCCGGCUUAACCGGGAAACUGCCGUUGAUACUAUUUGUCUUGAAUAUUGCGGAGGUAAGCGGAAUAUGUCAUGUAGCGGUGAAAUGCUUAGAUAUGACAUAGAACACCAAUUGCGAAGGCAGCUUACUACACAAUCAUUGACACUGAGGCACGAAAGCGUGGGUAGCGAACA